CGGGGGUGGUUGUGGUUGUGGUGGAGCGUGUGCUGGCUGUGGCUGACAGACACGUGGCGCCCUGCAACCUUGAAUUAGUACGGCCGAGACGGUAUCGGAAAGCUUCAAAGGAAGAAAGAUUGGUUAACUCGUCCUCACCUCACUCGCCACACACGGAGUCGACUAGAUCUGUGAUCCCGUGACGUCACACGGACGUAUCUGUGAUCCAGUGACGUAACCACCGGUCGUCCCCCGCGGCUGCAGCGUUACCGCCAUGCAGCCGGAAGGGAGUUAUAUGCGGGCGGUGGCCGCCGGACUGGGACCAAUGGCGUCGUCAGAGGCCAUCAAAGAGCAAAUCAGCGCCGCGGAAAACUUCUCCAUCCGCCGCAAAAACCUGCCAAGCACGUGUCUGCUGCACUACGACAAGGCACCUCUGCGACUGUCCAGCGCCCGGUUCCAGUACAUGUACGAUGACAAAGGAAGGGAGUACAUCGACUGCGCCGGGAGCAUUU
Amphibalanus amphitrite is the source of this 491-nucleotide long non-coding RNA. RefSeq lists it as uncharacterized. NCBI's taxonomy places the organism in Eukaryota, Metazoa, Arthropoda, Thecostraca, Balanomorpha, Balanidae. The transcript has 3 exons. The record is from RefSeq and is a predicted model, not a curated record.